This 291-nucleotide ribosomal RNA is filed under the name uncultured Pseudomonas sp. RNAcentral describes it as "partial 16S ribosomal RNA". It matches the Rfam family "Bacterial small subunit ribosomal RNA", at positions 1091 to 1382 of the family's 1533-position model. Lineage: Bacteria; Pseudomonadati; Pseudomonadota; Gammaproteobacteria; Pseudomonadales; Pseudomonadaceae. The record is from RNAcentral.
AACGAGCGCAACCUUGUCCUUAGUUACCAGCACGUUAUGGUGGGCACUCUAAGGAGACUGCCGGUGACAAACCGGAGGAAGGUGGGGAUGACGUCAAGUCAUCAUGGCCCUUACGGCCUGGGCUACACACGUGCUACAAUGGUCGGUACAAAGGGUUGCCAAGCCGCGAGGUGGAGCUAAUCCCAUAAAACCGAUCGUAGUCCGGAUCGCAGUCUGCAACUCGACUGCGUGAAGUCGGAAUCGCUAGUAAUCGUGAAUCAGAAUGUCACGGUGAAUACGUUCCCGGGCCUU